This 468-nucleotide ribosomal RNA is filed under the name uncultured bacterium. Its description in RNAcentral is "partial 16S ribosomal RNA". It matches the Rfam family "Bacterial small subunit ribosomal RNA", at positions 28 to 507 of the family's 1533-position model. The record is from RNAcentral.
GGCGAACGCUGGCGGCGUGCUUAACACAUGCAAGUCGAACGGAAAGGCCCUGCUUUUGUGGGGUGCUCGAGUGGCGAACGGGUGAGUAACACGUGAGUAACCUGCCCUUGACUUUGGGAUAACUUCAGGAAACUGGGGCUAAUACCGGAUAGGAGCUCCUGCUGCAUGGUGGGGGUUGGAAAGUUUCGGCGGUUGGGGAUGGACUCGCGGCUUAUCAGCUUGUUGGUGGGGUAGUGGCUUACCAAGGCUUUGACGGGUAGCCGGCCUGAGAGGGUGACCGGCCACAUUGGGACUGAGAUACGGCCCAGACUCCUACGGGAGGCAGCAGUGGGGAAUAUUGCACAAUGGGCGGAAGCCUGAUGCAGCAACGCCGCGUGCGGGAUGACGGUCUUCGGGUUGUAAACCGCUUUCGCCUGUGACGAAGCGUGAGUGACGGUAAUGGGUAAAGAAGCACCGGCUAACUACGUG